This 497-nucleotide ribosomal RNA is filed under the name uncultured bacterium. RNAcentral describes it as "partial 16S ribosomal RNA". It matches the Rfam family "Bacterial small subunit ribosomal RNA", at positions 28 to 507 of the family's 1533-position model. The record is from RNAcentral.
GAUGAACGCUGGCGGCGUGCCUAAUACAUGCAAGUCGAGCGAACGGACGAGAAGCUUGCUUCUCUGAUGUUAGCGGCGGACGGGUGAGUAACACGUGGAUAACCUACCUAUAAGACUGGGAUAACUUCGGGAAACCGGAGCUAAUACCGGAUAAUAUUUUGAACCGCAUGGUUCAAAAGUGAAAGACGGUCUUGCUGUCACUUAUAGAUGGAUCCGCGCUGCAUUAGCUAGUUGGUAAGGUAACGGCUUACCAAGGCAACGAUGCAUAGCCGACCUGAGAGGGUGAUCGGCCACACUGGAACUGAGACACGGUCCAGACUCCUACGGGAGGCAGCAGUAGGGAAUCUUCCGCAAGGGGGGAAAGCCUGACGGAGCAACGCCGCGGGAGUGAUGAAGGUCUUCGGACCGUAAAACUCUGUUAUUAGGGAAGAACAUAUGUGUAAGUAACUGUGCACAUCUUGACGGUACCUAAUCAGAAAGCCACGGCUAACUACGUG